RNAcentral lists this ribosomal RNA (427 nucleotides) under uncultured bacterium. RNAcentral describes it as "bacterial SSU rRNA". It matches the Rfam family "Bacterial small subunit ribosomal RNA", at positions 355 to 775 of the family's 1533-position model. The record is from RNAcentral.
UGGGGAAUUUUGGGCAAUGGGCGAAAGCCUGACCCAGCAACGCCGCGUGAAGGACGAAAUCCCUCUGGGAUGUAAACUUCGAAAGUUAGGGAAGAAAUACCGGGGGGGAACAUCCCCCGGGGAUGACGGUACCUAACGUAAGCCCCGGCUAACUACGUGCCAGCAGCCGCGGUAAUACGUAGGGGGCAAGCGUUGUUCGGAAUUACUGGGCGUAAAGGGCGCGUAGGCGGUACGACAAGUCAGGAGUGAAAGCCCGGGGCUCAACCCCGGAACUGCUUUUGAAACUGUCGAACUAGAGUGCAGAAGAGGCAACCGGAAUUCCCAGUGUAGCGGUGAAAUGCGUAGAUAUUGGGAAGAACACCUGAGGCGAAGGCGGGUUGCUGGGCUGACACUGACGCUGAGGCGCGAAAGCCAGGGGAGCGAACGG